GGACGGGACACGAGCGACGCCGCGCUCGCCCCGCAGCUAGCAUGAUAGCUUCAUCAUCCAAACGCCCCCACCAAACACCCCUCCACAACCCCUGCGGCAACUGCUGGCUGGCAAUGGCACACACACACACAUACACACACUCACACGCUCCGUCAAUGGAACAUGAUCGCCAUUGGUAGCUUCUUCCUGUCAUUCUUUUGCUUCCUUUGCUAAUUCUUGGGUUACUUCCUGACAGCUUCUGUUCAUUGUGUCAUUUCCCUAUUACCGUUUUUUCCCAUGUAUAAUGCGCCCCCAUGGAGCGUGUUUGAAGUGAACAGCAGAGAAGAAAGCGCAUCUGUAAUGGCGGCCUCCGCAUAAUAUCCGGAUAAAAAAAUAAUAAUAAUAAAAUUUAAAAAAUUGUACCCAUGUAUAAUGCGCACCCCAGAUUUUAGGAGAAAUAGUUAAAUUUUGCGCAUUAUACAUGGAAAACAACGGUAUUUAAAAAUUUUUGUACCACCCUAUUCAUUUAAUUGCAUUAUAUUAGAACCCCGUCACUUUUAAUUAUCUUAUAACAGAACCUAAUUGGUUUCCAUUGCGACAUAUCAGUAUCCUAUUAUUUUAAUUGUGUUGUAUCUUUCGAUUGGGCACGUAACUUAUAUCACAAGACUUUGGGUCCCCCUCCGAUCUCGUCUUUAAUUGAUUUCCUCAGUUCGGAGAGCAGCUGUUCGGCAUCCUCCGCGUCUUCAUUCUCCUCCUCCCCGUUGGAUUCCGCAGAGCCAAGAUGGCGGCGUCAUGUAAAUUUGAUGGCGCUGAGGGAAGGCAAAAAGAGAGAAAACAGACUGCUGCACGCCUGAAAUAUUUAAUAAGCUCCACUUUAUGUUACUUCCCGGAGUCUCCUUAAUGCCUCCGCCUCCAUGGCAACCAAUCAAGGGCCGUCAGUGUGUUUGUUGUUUGCCGUUUACUGAGGAAGCUUAAUUAAGAUGCUUUUCAAUUAGCGCUAAUGUUUGUCUCUUGUUUUCUAUCUUUUUAGAAACCUGCUGGACCGAGACACCUUCUCCAAAUCGGAUCCCAUUUGUGUGCUGUACACGCAGGGGAUAGCAAACAGGGAAUGGAGAGAGUUUGGCAGAACAGAAGUGAUCGACAACACACUCAACCCUGACUUUGUGCGCAAGUUUAUCUUGGAUUAUUUCUUUGAGGAGAGGCAGAA
Molecule: long non-coding RNA, 1186 nt
Organism: Syngnathus typhle (broad-nosed pipefish)
Lineage: Eukaryota; Metazoa; Chordata; Actinopteri; Syngnathiformes; Syngnathidae
Exons: 3
Source: RefSeq, a predicted model, not a curated record